Molecule: ribosomal RNA, 253 nt
Filed under: uncultured bacterium
Lineage: Bacteria
Description: partial 16S ribosomal RNA
Rfam family: Bacterial small subunit ribosomal RNA
Source: RNAcentral
UACGUAGGCAGCGAGCGUUGUUCGGAGUUACUGGGCGUAAAGGGCGUGUAGGCGGCCUAUUAUGUUUGGUGUGAAAUCUCCCGGCUCAACCGGGAGGGUGCGCCGAGAACUGGGAGGCUAGAGUGCGGGAUGGGAGAGUGGAAUUCCUGGUGUAGCGGUGAAAUGCGUAGAUAUCAGGAGGAACACCGGUGGCGCAGACGGCUCUCUGGACCGUAACUGACGCUGAGACACGAAAGCGUGGGUAGCAAACAGG